AUAUACAAACAAAGGUUGAAUUCAUCAAAUUAAUAGAAAGAGGAAAAGUUAGGUCUGACAAAAGAAUUCAUUGGACAAAAUAGUCACACACAUACGACUUUUUCGCCGGUUGUGUUACAUACGCGCCACCUUUGAAAAGCCGGUUUAAAUUGAAGACCCCAGUCUGUUUGCAGAUUUGACCCACCAGGUGUGCUCUCCUAUCCAAUUACUAUAGAACACGUGUCUGAAAACCUCUAAAAAUCUCUUAACAAAGAUUAGACACAAAACAAACAAAAAAAAAGUUAAGAAAGUGAAAGAAAAAACCACAAUCUCCGCUGGCUUGGAACCCUUUCUCUCACCUUCUCUCGUUCGACCUCUCUCCCUCUCCAUCUCUUUAUAUACUGACUGUGUAGCCAUUAGAGUCUAUUCAAAGAAGAAGAAGAAACACUCAUCCAACAGCGAGAUCUCUUUAAAUCGAAAGACGAUUGAAUUUAGGGUUCUUUCGUGAAAAUCAUUAGGGUUUGGAGAGAUCUGUGAGAAUGGGGAGGGAGAAUAAGAGGGUUGCACAGAAAAUCCAAGUGGGUUUAUUGAAUUAAGUUGUAAAAAGAUAGAGAAGGAGGUGAUUGUAGAAAUGCAACAGAGAAAAACUGACAGAAGAGAGUGAGCACAUGCAGGCACUGUUAUGUCUCUAUAACUUUGCGUGUGCGUGCUCACGGCUCUUUCUGUCAGUUGCCUGACUUCUCGCUUUCUCUCUCUUUCUUCUCUCUCUCAAAUUUGUUGAACCUCCUAUCAUCUACAUACCACUUACCUUCUUAUCAUCUUUUUUGUUGUGCACUUGGCUAGUAAUGUGAAUAAGACUGAUGCCCCCUGUGCCCUGUCAUUAUCAUUUCGUUGUGUGUAGAAAUUAUGUCUUUUCCUAUUUCUUUUUGUAUUGGUGUUGAAAUGGGUGCUUGCUUUCGCUUAGGAAUGUUUGUUCUUAAGCAAGUUUGGUUGAGAAAAGCUCAGAUUUUUAUAUUUGGGUUUAUCAUAGAGAUAAAACUUUAAGUGUGCUAUAUAUUAUGUUUGUUUUCUUUUAGUGGAUCUAGGAAAUGCGCGAGUUUUGAUGAUGAUGAACCCCCACCGGUACACAUUCUUCUCGAAGAUUAAUUAACUGUUUAUUGAUGGUCUCUUUUUCUUUAAAUUGGGAUGCAAUCUGUGUUUUUUCCUUUUUGGUUUGUUAAAGUUUCUGCAUGUUGAAAUUCUCUAAUGAUGCAACUGUUUUUCUCCUUACAUUUUACUUUUCAGUUUUUAGAAGCCAGAUGUGGCUUUCAGGUUUCACCAAGAGCCAUAAAUGAUGGAAUAGUGAUCUCUUUUCAGUUCUAUUUCAUGUGUAGACACUAGUUCUGUGCCGUUUCAAUGGGAGUGGGAACUUUUCUAAUGAUAGGUGAAGGAGAUUCGCUUAAAUUGACUACUCUGCAAGUUGAGAUCAAAUAUAAGAAGAUUAUGGUGUAAAGAUGAUACCCUGAAUUCUAUCAAUAAGAGUGCUUCAUCAGCGGUCCAAUUUUCAGAAACAGCUAAAGGUUCGAUCCUGCUCAUGUUCACAGCAACAUGUGUGAGUUUAUUAUGAUUAUUUGGUAAUGUUAUUGUUUGUUUUUCCCUUUUCCCGAAAGUUACUCUUAUAGAGAAUUGUGGAUUUGUGAAUUUCUUUUACGGAUCUUUUAAUCGAGAGAUUAGUUGUUGAACUGAUCAAAUAACAAUCAAACUAGAUGGUGAAUCUGUAUGCUGGCUUAAAAGAACGGAUUCAUCUUAAACCGGGUAGAUACAAUGCGGAGUAGUCGACCAAUAUUUAGGCUAGUUGGCCAAUUUUUUGGAUUAUAUGUUUUGAUUGUG
Long non-coding RNA from Raphanus sativus (radish), 1848 nucleotides. RefSeq lists it as uncharacterized. Lineage: Eukaryota; Viridiplantae; Streptophyta; Magnoliopsida; Brassicales; Brassicaceae. The record is from RefSeq and is a predicted model, not a curated record. The transcript is spliced from 3 exons.